RNAcentral lists this ribosomal RNA (1404 nucleotides) under Ophiocten ludwigi. RNAcentral describes it as "large subunit ribosomal RNA". Lineage: Eukaryota; Metazoa; Echinodermata; Ophiuroidea; Amphilepidida; Ophiuridae. The record is from RNAcentral.
AACUAUAAUUUUUAUAGCUUUGUAAUUUAAAAUAUUUUUAUCAUUUUAUUUAUUCUGAUAUUGUUGAUAAAGAAGCUUUUGCCUGCAUUUAUUCCUCAAAAGUCCUUUCGUACAAGAAGAGAAAAGUAGUAGAUAGAAACUGUCCUGUCUCACGACGGACUGAACUCAGAUCGCGUAAGAUUUUAUAGGUUGAACAAACCUACCCUUGAAAACGGCUGCACCUUCAGGAAAUCUUGAUCCAACAUCGAGGUCGCAAACUUUCUUGUCAAUAAGUACUCUCGAAGAAAAUUACGCUGUUAUCCCUAUGGUAACUUUUUCUUUUUAUCACAACUAUUGUGGAUCAUUUAUAUAUUUAAAUAAUUUAAAAAUAUUUUUGUCUUAAUAAAAAAUAAGUUGCCCCAACUAAAAUUCUUGACUAAUUUUUGUAAUAAGAAAAGGAUUAAAGCUCAAUAGGGUCUUCUCGUCCCACUAUCACAUUUUGGUUUCUUCACCAAAAUACUAAAUUCUAAAUUUACGAAAAGAGACAGAAUUUUCUUCGUCUAGCCAUUGAUUCCAGCCUGGAAUUAACAGGCAAAUGAUUAUGCUACCUUUGCACGGUCAGAGUACCGCAGCCGUUUAAUCAAAAGAUCACCGGGCAGGCAGGACCCCACGAUUAUAAAGCCGGGGGCGAUGUUUUAGGUAAACAGGCGAGAAAAGCUUUUGCCGAGUUCCUUUUUUCGUAUUUAUUAUUAAACUUUUUCUAAAAUAAGAAUAUUAGGUAAUAGUAAAACUGUAAAACGUUUUUACUAAAAUUAUUACUUAAACCAAAAAUUUUUUACUCAUAAAGCCAUUAAUACCAAAUUUAUUAAUUUGUACCAAGGUAAUAAUUUUGAAGACGGAAAGUUAAUCAAUUAUUAAAAUCUUAUUUUUUAAGGAGCUCAAACGCCCUCUUUAAAGAAAAAUGCUUGAAUUUUACUUCUUAAAGAUUAUAAAGUUUUAUUAAUGUCCUUUUUCUAAAUAAAAGGUUGAACCUUAAAUAAUAUAUUGAUCAGCCAAUAUAUUAUAAAAAGAAGUAGAUCUCAUUAAGCUUACACUUAAUUCCCUUGGAAAAAGCUAUAAUAAUAUUCGAUUAGCAUUUCACUUCUAUUAGAUCCUCGUACCUUGUUUUUUCUACAACUAGGAAACUUUCUUACAAAGGAAAAAAAUAGCUCAUAUUAUUUCGUUAGAAAAGAAAUAAAACUUUUGCAUUUCAGCCUUCCAUAAUACAAAAGGUACAGAAUAAUUCUUUCUUCUUUCUUAAUUAAGUUUUAAAUUAAUUCAAAAUCCUUCGCAGUUAAAUAUAUAGGUACAAAAUUAAUUUCAAAAAAGAUUACUAAAAAAUAUUACGAAAAUUAAUAUUUUAUUAUUAAUCCAACUAAAAAUUUU